UACGAAGGGGGCUAGCGUUGCUCGGAAUCACUGGGCGUAAAGGGUGCGUAGGCGGGUCUUUAGGUCAGGGGUGAAAUCCUGGAGCUCAACUCCAGAACUGCCUUUGAUACUGAGGAUCUUGAGUUCGGGAGAGGUGAGUGGAACUGCGAGUGUAGAGGUGAAAUUCGUAGAUAUUCGCAAGAACACCAGUGGCGAAGGCGGCUCACUGGCCCGAUACUGACGCUGAGGCACGAAAGCGUGGGGAGCAAACAGG
RNAcentral lists this ribosomal RNA (253 nucleotides) under uncultured bacterium. RNAcentral's name for it is "partial 16S ribosomal RNA". It matches the Rfam family "Bacterial small subunit ribosomal RNA", at positions 524 to 776 of the family's 1533-position model. The record is from RNAcentral.